AUAAUUGCCGUGAACUGAACGGAUAAAAAGAAAUCACGAGCAAAACAAAAAUAUGUUUAUAACGUAACAGAUGGGUGAUAGCUCGACAAAUCCAUCGGCCCACUUUUGGCCAACUGUUGAUUUCCGGACGGCAGAGGACCAGGAAAUCAGGCAUUAGAGCAAAUGCCUCAUUAUCUCGAUAAACGAUUGAGAAAAACACAACAAUCGUGUUAAUUACCCACUUGAAAUGAAACUUACCAAAGCGUUUAAACUUAACGAUUACCUGAGACCAUUAAUGAAGAAUGGAGUAUGACUAUUUAUUAUUUACAUAUUAUUGCAAUAAUGUUGGCUAUUAAGUGUAAUUAUGUGCCAUUCGUUUGAUUUAUAUUGAUUGGAAUAUUUCUGUAAUUACUGUGUUAAAGACCGAGCAAUUUGUCACUUUGCAUUAGAUUUAUUUUGUGAUAAAAUCGAUCAAGUGUGAAAAGAAAAAGCAGAGCUUUCUGCGACAUCCCUGGCGGGGAUCGAACCCACGACCUUUGGAUUAGAAGUCCAACGCGCUAUCCUCUGCGCCACAGGGACAGUAUCUUGAGAAAACUUACAGCACGAAAAAUGUAAACAAUUUAAACUCAUGAUAAAAUAUUAGCAGCUGGUAAAAUUGCAUCAUAUUGUAAAAAUAUUUCAUUGUUUUACCGACAGUAAGAUUAGGAUAAGAAUCAUUUGAAGUCUAUUUUGAUAAAAGAUAAAUUAAAGCUAUUGUUUUUUUGAACGAAAAUAAAUAAAAUACAAAGGAUUCAAAUCGUCAUAAUCAUGUUUGUUUUUAUUCACAGUCACUGGAAUGUGCAGAUUUUUAACCUUUUAGACGUUGGAAAAAAGAUAUUACAUCCUUUGUUCGUUGAUCCUUUAGUAAAUUCACUGCCACUUGCAAACAUCACGUUAAAUAGUGACCACAAUAAACUGUGAUUAAGUAAAAAACCUAAUUAUUAUCUUUUGAUAUGUAUAAAUAAAUAAAAUAAAAUGUAUAAAUAAAAAUAAA
Molecule: long non-coding RNA, 1012 nt
Organism: Tribolium castaneum (red flour beetle)
Lineage: Eukaryota; Metazoa; Arthropoda; Insecta; Coleoptera; Tenebrionidae
Exons: 2
Source: RefSeq, a predicted model, not a curated record